GUGACAGAUCUGAAGAAUGAAGCCCUCUAUUUAUCUUCUGAAUGGAUGGAGCAUGAGUAGCAGCGAAGACUUUCUCAUGCUCUUUUGCCAGUGUGCCACAAUCUUUUUACCAUGUUCUGAGCAUAUUUUUACCAGUGAGAGGUGCUUAUUCAUUCCAUAGUUUCCCUAAUGGACUACC
Unclassified non-coding RNA from Anser brachyrhynchus (Pink-footed goose), 178 nucleotides. NCBI's taxonomy places the organism in Eukaryota, Metazoa, Chordata, Aves, Anseriformes, Anatidae. The record is from Ensembl.